This 407-nucleotide ribosomal RNA is filed under the name uncultured bacterium. RNAcentral describes it as "partial 16S ribosomal RNA". It matches the Rfam family "Bacterial small subunit ribosomal RNA", at positions 30 to 526 of the family's 1533-position model. The record is from RNAcentral.
AUUGAACGCUGGCGGCAGGCCUAACACAUGCAAGUCGAGCGGAGCGGCGGACGGGCGAGCAUUGCCUAGGCACCUGCCUGGUAGUGGGGGAUAACGUCCGGAAACGGGCGCUAAUACCGUAUACUCUCUGCUGUGCAUGGGUCGGGUUAGCUCGUUGUUGUGGUAAAGGCCUAUCAAGGCGCCGCUCCGUAACUGUUGUGAGAGGAUGAUCAGUCACACUGGAACGGAGACACGGUCCAGACUCCUACGGGAGGCAGCAGUGGGGAAUGUUGGACAAUUGGCGAAAGCCUGGUCCAGCCAUGCCGCGUGUGUGAAGAAGGUCUUCGUAUUGUGAAGCACUUUAAGUUGGAAGGCGUUACCAACAGAAUAAGCACCGGCUAACUUCGUGCCAGCCGCCGCGGUAAUAC